Long non-coding RNA from Prionailurus viverrinus (fishing cat), 4827 nucleotides. RefSeq lists it as uncharacterized. Lineage: Eukaryota; Metazoa; Chordata; Mammalia; Carnivora; Felidae. The record is from RefSeq and is a predicted model, not a curated record. The transcript is spliced from 3 exons.
UUUUAUUUUUCUUAUAAGUAUGGAGGAAAUCAACUUUCUGAAAGAAAAAUAUCAUCAAGAGAAUCAUUUGCAGAGGGCUUGUUAAGUCUGGCAUUUUUCAAAAACUAUUUUUUUUGUUUGUUUUUGAAAGACAUUUACAGUUGUGUCCCACUACCCCACCCUCAGUAUGGUAUGGUAAACAUAUAUGGUAAAACAAUGUUAUGGUAUGGUGAAACAUAUAUAUGGUAAAACAAAAUAGCCACAGGGAACAGUUUUUGAGUUUUGGGCCAGGUUUGGGCACACAUCACCUAUGGCAAUCAAACCCAAUUCUAAAGGUAUAUUUCUGGCUGAAAAAAGAAAUAUAAGGACAACAAAUAUGUUGAUGCAGUUUAAACCAUGUUUUAAGUCAUAGGCAUAUGUCCAGAUAUUUAGUAAUAUUUUAAAAUCUUAAUUCAAAUCUAACUGGGAAAAUAGGCAUUCUGAUUAUUUAAUAGUUGGAUAAUAAAAUGGCAGUGACGCACAAUACAAUUUUCACUGUAGCCUCAAAGUCCCUCCUUACUGGCUUUCUUAUCUUUAGCAUGGCUUGUGGUCUUUAGAAAAUAACCUAAAGAGCUUAUAAAGCUUCUUAAAAGUAUUUUGUAUUCUCCAAGUUUUCCAAAGAUGAAAAUUCAACAUAAACAGUCAUUAAGGCUACUCAAUCUUAUAUCAUUAUGCAAUGGCAUUUUCUUAAGUACACAAAUUCUGUAUUAGGUAUCUACCUUCUCAUACACCUUUGCAAUAUUUAUUGUGAAAAGUUUCCAACAUACAGCAAAUUUAAAAGAAUUUUAAAGCAAGCACCUAUAUACUUCCUACCUACAUUCUACCACUAACAUUUUAUUAAAGUUGCUUUUUUGCAUAUCUAUUCAUCUAUCUGCUGUGACACACUUUGAAAGUACAGUGCAUAGUAUCACAUUUCUACACCUUCUUCCCACCACGGCUUAUCUUAUUUAAUUUACUUUUAAAAUUCAGAAAAGCAAAACCAUUUGUUUAGUAAGCUUCUAAACUAAGAACACUAAAAGUUCAGGAUUUGUUCCUCUACAGCAAAUUGUUGCUUUCAUAUGAAAAGCAAAUCAGUGAACUACAUUUCUAGCAUUAAGUGCUCAUUGUAGGUCCUAUCGCCAGAAUUAGGAAAGAGGAUUUUGGAUCAAAGGGCUGUUGUUUUUUGGUUUUUGUUUUUUUAUAGUUCUGUAAAAAGCAAGUGAUCAAACAACUCAACUUUUCGAAGGGACAACUUCAUGCUGUGAUAGGCAGUUCCAGUUGAUACUAAUCAUCACGUCCUCAAUUUCAUAUCCUUUUAUCAUCAAUGUUUCUGGUAAACAAGUUCACUUUGGGCUAAACAACAAGCAUUCACCUCUGGAACAGACAACCAAAGUAGCAAGCUUCAACAGGGCUAGGAAGGCUAAUGCCUACUCAGAAAGGUUACAUAUGCUCUGAGAAACAGUAGUGCUCCGGUGGCUUAUUGAGAUUAAGUAGGCAGACAACAAAAAUUAAACUUGAAAUUUCAGUUAUGUCAGAUUCAGCAAUGUUCCACAUUACUUUGAGGACAAUAAGUAAACUCUUCUUAGCCCUCCCUCAGUCCCCAAAUCAAACAAAACUACAUUCAAAGAGAAAACAAAAUAUGAUGUCCUUCUUCACAGGAAAGUUCUGAGUCCAAUUCUUUCAUCUGGAAGAUUCUUGUCUCUACAAACAUAAAUUUUCUCAUCUUCUGUAGACUUAGCUUUUAAAACUGUAUGUGCAGUGGUAUGUAGCAUACAAUGACUAAUACAUUAAAAAAAUUGUUUUCCGUCUGCUGAAGACAAUGACUGAGAAACGAUAUGUUUUAAUCUACUAGAUUUCUUGGCAUUAUGUAGUCUUGGUGCUCUUUCUAAAGCAAGGUGAAACUAACAAGUAGUCGUAUUUGACAAUUUCACCUGUCAUCACUCAAACAGCAGGACUGGAGUGGUGUGGUGUAAGAUAGGUAAGGAACCUGAGAGAACUGUCAUUAUUUUGGAUCCCCAGAUGGCAAAUGAAUACUACUAUCACUUUAAAACAUUUACCUCUCUGCCCCCUACAAAAACAACAACAACAACAACAACAACAACAACAACAACAAAUGAAUAAAAGGGCAAACUAUGUAUUCUAUAUCUUUGCCGCUUGAAGAAUAAAAAAAGAAAUAAUCCAUUUAAAACUAAACUAUUACUUGAUGUUCUUCUGAUCCCUGUUGACACAAUUUCCUAUUUUUAUAUGCAUUGGCCCUAGUGGAUGGGAUGGAACCAUGUUACCCAAUCUCAAACACAGCUGUGCUUAUCAUUAGCCUCUCCAGUGGUCCUUUUCUCUCUCGCUGGUAGUCAGCACACCUGGCAUACACCUGCCACUGACUUUCUUUGUAACAAUUGAUCUGAGCAUGAUGAUUUUAUGCCUCAUAAAGGAAAAGAGCCGUCUUUUUAUUUUAAUAAAAAUAAAGAAAAAAACUGAGUUGCUUCCAUAAGCAUUCUGCCCCCUAAAUAUAUUAUUCCUCUAUUGUCAAACAUUCUCUAAACAAGCACAUUGUUAUGACACGUUGACACAUGUUCAAGAAAAAUUUGUUUCAUGAAAUUUUGUUUCCAAAAGAGCCAGACCAAAGUUUGUGCUUUGGCCAUAAAAUCCAUACAAAAAGUUACCCUUUAAAGUUACCAUUUAAGUUACCAUUAAAGCUACAUCUAUGUGACUGAUGGAUUUAUAAGUAGCUUUUGUGUUAUGGCUCAAAUGAAUUUUGAGGAUUUUUUUUCUCCAUGUGGAUCUACACACAGACAUGACAGACAUGACAGCUUUGAAUAAAUCCCUCCUGUUCCUGAAAGUGACAUUUCCCGGAGGCAUAGCCAUUACUCUCAUCUCGGGCUCUCCCACUUGGCCUUAAUAACCUUAGGAAUCCUAAAUCCAUACCACAAUUCUCAUCAUUCCUCCAUCAAUCUCCCUAUGGCUUCUUUAAUUCAUCCCUUUUCUCCAGUGGUUUAUAAAUUCACUGAUGACAAUGUUACAAAUAAGACAUGGCAAUCCCUAAAGGGUGGGCAGGUCUGGGGGUCCUAUCCAUUUUCUUCAUGGGUAAAAGCUUUCGGGUAAUUACUUGUUGAAGAAGCUCUUCAAAGUCACAGGGACAAGAAAGAUCUGGGGCCACAGACAGCUUGUUUAUCCACUGGACACGUGGUAAUCAAAGAAAAAUUAAAACAGCAGAGUCUAGAGGACAUAGCCAAUUGCAUACAUUACUUUAUGAAAAACAUCAACUAAAACCUUGGUUGAUAUAAAAAGUGUUACUACUAAUUAGGGGGAAAACACAGCAGCUUAUAAUUACAGGCAAAGUUAAAAUAAUUCAUUUAUAUAAAGUAUUGUGACCAAACACCUGAGCUCAAAUAUUCUGUGAAUCCAUGGCUCAAGUAAAAAGGAGUUUAAUGCCUAGAGAUUAUGUAUUUGAGUCAUGAAGGCAAGAAUAAUUUAAGAAGAUAAAAAGCAGAUUAUGUGGUAAUGUUGGGCAUUCAAGUACCUGUUGAGGUUGUUAGGCAGAAUUGUAUUAGUUUGAACAACGGUGGCUUCAUGUUGAUGCAUGGUCAUCCUUUUGGCACUAGGGAAGCUAGCUAGAUUCAUUCAAUACAGUUGUGUGUUGCUAUCACACAAAAAGGUAAUAGGUAGUGGAUUACUUCUGACAUUUUACCAAAUUUGAUAUUACAUUUUUCCAUUCCUGGAAAAAACAAGCACAAAUGCAUUUGAAUACACAGGGUGUCUUGGCACUUUGGUGAUUCGUACAGGAAAUUUUAUAUGACUUUAUCAGCUAAUAAGAAAGAAACUGGUCUUCAAAAAAUAACAGUUAUAAAACCUCUCUUGUUUGGUGAUAAGGGAUAUAAGAAGAUUCUUAAAUAUGGCAAUUUUAAUUUUCCAAAGCAUGAGCACGAAGUAUGUUCAUUUUAUUCAUGUGUUUUAUACUUUGCACGACACUGCGAUCCAAAUGAUGAGGAGAGGCCAUCCCAGUGGAACAGAAGGGCUGGUCUGUGUGUGUGGGUCUGGGGAGCAAGCGUGAAUAAGAGUGAUGAAGAAGCAAGUGCAGAAGAGUUAAGACUAAAGGAAGCCCACCCUACUGAAAUGGACAGGGAAAUGGACAGGGAAAUGGUGGGAAAUGGACUGGAGGAAAGAAGACUGGAGGCAAGGAGAGCAAAUGGGGGCUACUGAAGAGGAAUAAAACCUCAAAUCUUAGACGCUUCUAUGAUGGAAGUCAUCACAAAAUUUUGAAGACACGAUGAGAAUUAUUUCUUGAACAACACAGAGCAGAGAUGUUGAUGUUCAUCAAUGAUGAAGAGCAUGAACUUGAUUGAGAGAACUGUAAGGGUUCCUUUGAAGACUCUCCUUGCAAUAUCAAAUUAAUGUCCCAAUGUGAAUAAUAUAUUGAUAAUAUAUUACUGAGACAAAGAAGAAUGACUGAUGCUCAAUUACUUUAAAUACAUCUUUGGAAGUAGAUACUGAAUUUAAUGAAGAGUCUUUUAAAAAUUACUGUACUCUUGUAAAACUGUCCUGGGUAGGUGAGUGUGGGGGUUUUAAAGAGAGAAGAAGCAAUGCUUUACUAAGGAACAGCUAAAUUGCCAUGGAUAGUACAGUGCCCCAAAUGGAAAAAGCUUUUUAAACUUAUAAAACAACAUCUUCUCCUCAUAAGAAACACUAAAAAAGUUUUGUUUAAAGUACAGAAGUGUGCCUAUCACAUUGGUGGUGCUCAGUAAAUACAUUUUUUACUUUUUUAGUUUUUUUUAUAUUUGAGAGGGAGAGAGAAAGAGACAGAGUGCCAACAGCGGACGGGCAGAGAGAUGGAGA